Molecule: microRNA precursor, 104 nt
Filed under: Brugia malayi
Lineage: Eukaryota; Metazoa; Nematoda; Chromadorea; Rhabditida; Onchocercidae
Description: microRNA bma-mir-268 precursor
Gene: bma-mir-268
Rfam family: mir-268 microRNA precursor family (bases 1-90)
Source: miRBase by way of RNAcentral
UCCAAUUAUUUGAAAUGAUUAGAAGCAGUGUGUUCAAUACUUUUCCCUCACUAUUGAACUUCAAUUGUUUCAAGAAAUUAUUUCAGAUAAGUUUGAAAUUUUAC